RNAcentral lists this long non-coding RNA (618 nucleotides) under Heterocephalus glaber (naked mole-rat). RNAcentral's name for it is "lncRNA (ENSHGLG00000035575.1)". The record is from RNAcentral. Lineage: Eukaryota; Metazoa; Chordata; Mammalia; Rodentia; Bathyergidae.
CAGAAACCAUCAUGGUGGAAGGGUAUGGCGGAACAAAGCUGCUCAGUUCAUGGCAGCUGGGGAACAGUGCCAGAGAGGAAGAGGCCAGGGAGUUCCCUCUAGGGAGAUUGACUACAUGCUGAAAAGAAAACACAAAGAUAGCAUCUAAGAGCAGUCAGAGGGCCGGGGAUUUAGCUCAGUUGUUCCGCCACCUGCCUUGCAAGCGGAAGGAUCCGAGUUCGAUCCCCAGUACCAAAAAAAAAAACAGCCAAAAACCCCAAAAAAACCACAAAAAAAAGAGCAAUCAGAGAUCAAAUUAUGUGGUAUAUGAAAUAUAGGUCAAUAAAAUUGUUAAAAAUUAAAAUAUUAUUAAAAUAGUUAAAACUUUAAAUAAUUGAAAAACAAGCAGAGAAAAAAGAUACAACAUAUGGACAACUGACUUCUUAAGUGAAACAGUGGAAUUGAGAGGAAGAUGAAAAGACAUCUUCAAAGCUCUGAGGGACACUACCUUUUAGAAUUCUGUGGGAGGAAAAAUAUCCUUUAAAAAAGGAGAAAUAAAGACAUGUUUAGAGAAACAAUUUGAUCAGUCUCAUCAUCAGUUGACUUGCAUCAAAAGAAAUACUAACAGGUGUUCUUUAG